Molecule: ribosomal RNA, 305 nt
Filed under: uncultured bacterium
Lineage: Bacteria
Description: bacterial SSU rRNA
Rfam family: Bacterial small subunit ribosomal RNA
Source: RNAcentral
UCCUACGGGAGGCAGCAGUGAGGAAUAUUGGUCAAUGGUCGGGAGACCGAACCAGCCAAGCCGCGUGAGGGAGGAAGGUACAGAGUAUCGUAAACCUCUUUUGUCAGGGAACAAAGGCGGGGACGUGUCCCCGGAUGAGUGUACCUGAAGAAAAAGCAUCGGCUAACUCCGUGCCAGCAGCCGCGGUAAUACGGAGGAUGCGAGCGUUCUCCGGAUUUAUUGGGUUUAAAGGGUGCGCAGGCGGUCUGUUAAGUCAGCGGUCAAAGCCCGGGGCUCAACCCCGGCCCGCCGUUGAAACUGGCAGG